RNAcentral lists this ribosomal RNA (440 nucleotides) under uncultured bacterium. RNAcentral describes it as "partial 16S ribosomal RNA". It matches the Rfam family "Bacterial small subunit ribosomal RNA", at positions 338 to 795 of the family's 1533-position model. The record is from RNAcentral.
CCUACGGGUGGCUGCAGUGGGGAAUAGUGCACAAUGGGGGAAACCCUGAUGCAGCGACGCCGCGUGAGUGAAGAAGUAUUUCGGUAUGUAAAGCUCUAUCAGCAGGGAAGAUAAUGACGGUACCUGAGUAAGAAGCCCCGACUAACUACGUACCCGCCGCCGCGGUAAUACGUAGGGGGCGAGCUUUAUCCGGAUUUACUGGGUGUAAGGGGGGCGUGGGCGGGAUGGCAAGUCUGAAGUGAAAGCCCGGGGCUAAACGGCGGGACUGCUUUGGAAACUGUUAAGCUGGAGUGCAGGAGAGGUAAGUGGAAUGCCUAGUGGAGCGGUGAAAUGCGUAGAUAGUAGGAGGAACACCAGUGGCGAAGGCGGCUUACUGGACUGUAACUGACGUUGAGGCUCGAAAGCGUGGGGAGCAAACAGGAUUAGAUACCCUAGUAGUC